Molecule: unclassified non-coding RNA, 87 nt
Filed under: Pseudomonas orientalis
Lineage: Bacteria; Pseudomonadati; Pseudomonadota; Gammaproteobacteria; Pseudomonadales; Pseudomonadaceae
Source: RNAcentral
GUGGGAGGGGGCUUGCCCCCGAUAGCGGUGUGUCAGUCAGCUUAUUGGCAGCUGACCCACCGCUAUCGGGGGCAAGCCCCCUCCCAC